Molecule: ribosomal RNA, 396 nt
Filed under: uncultured bacterium
Lineage: Bacteria
Description: bacterial SSU rRNA
Rfam family: Bacterial small subunit ribosomal RNA
Source: RNAcentral
AUUGAACGCUGGCGGCAUGCCUUACACAUGCAAGUCGAACGGCAGCACGGGAGCAAUCCUGGUGGCGAGUGGCGAACGGGUGAGUAAUAUAUCGGAACGUGCCCAGUCGUGGGGAUAACGUAGCGAAAGCUACGCUAAUACCGCAUACGAUCUAUGGAUGAAAGCGGGGGAUCGCAAGACCUCGCGCGAUUGGAGCGGCCGAUAUCAGAUUAGGUAGUUGGUGAGGUAAAGGCUCACCAAGCCGACGAUCUGUAGCUGGUCUGAGAGGACGACCAGCCACACUGGGACUGAGACACGGCCCAGACUCCUACGGGAGGCAGCAGUGGGGAAUUUUGGACAAUGGCGCAAGCCUGAUCCAGCAAUGCCGCGUGCAGGAUGAAGGCCUUCGGUUGUAAC